RNAcentral lists this ribosomal RNA (468 nucleotides) under uncultured bacterium. RNAcentral's name for it is "partial 16S ribosomal RNA". It matches the Rfam family "Bacterial small subunit ribosomal RNA", at positions 28 to 507 of the family's 1533-position model. The record is from RNAcentral.
GACGAACGCUGGCGGCGUGCUUAACACAUGCAAGUCGAACGGAAAGGCCCUGCUUUUGUGGGGUGCUCGAGUGGCGAACGGGUGAGUAACACGUGAGUAACCUGCCCUUGACUUUGGGAUAACUUCAGGAAACUGGGGCUAAUACCGGAUAGGAGCUCCUGCUGCAUGGUGGGGGUUGGAAAGUUUCGGCGGUUGGGGAUGGACUCGCGGCUUAUCAGCUUGUUGGUGGGGUAGUGGCUUACCAAGGCUUUGACGGGUAGCCGGCCUGAGAGGGUGACCGGCCACAUUGGGACUGAGAUACGGCCCAGACUCCUACGGGAGGCAGUAGUGGGGAAUAUUGCACAAUGGGCGGAAGCCUGAUGCAGCAAUGCCGCGUGCGGGAUGACGGCCUUCGGGUUGUAAACCGCUUUCGCCUGUGACGAAGCGUGAGUGACGGUAAUGGGUAAAGAAGCACCGGCUAACUACGUG